UGAUCAAGUUAUAGCAGCACAUAGAGGAUACCUUGGCACUGCAAGUCGAUGAAGGACGCGAUUGGCCGCGAUAUUCCCCGGGGAACUGUCUAAAUAGUUUUGAUCCGGGGGUCUCCGAAUGGGCAAACCCAUACUGGUUAAUUCCAGUAUAUCCUGACGUAAGUCAGGGUGACAACCCGCUGAACUGAAACAUCUUAGUAAGCGGAGGAAGAGAAAGUAAUAACGAUUCCGGGAGUAGUGGCGAGCGAAACCGGAACAGCCCAAACCUCGAUUUUAUCGGGGGGUAGAGGGACCGCAAUGUGAGACCAAAAAAUCUAGCUGAACCGCUCUGGAAAGUCUGGCCAUAGAAGGUGAUAGCCCUGUAAGCGAAAGAUUUAAUGGCUCUAGCGGUAUCCCAAGUACAACCGGACACGAGGAAUCUGGUUGGAAUCAGGGAGGACCAUCUCCUAAGGCUAAAUACUCUGCAGUGACCGAUAGUGAACUAGUACCGUGAGGGAAAGGUGAAAAGAACCCAGGAAUGGGAGUGAAAUAGAACUUGAAACUGUGUGCUUACAAGCAGUUGGAGCCCCCCGAUUUAUCGGGGGGUGACAGCAUGCCUAUUGAAGAAUGAGCCGGCGACUUACAAUUACAUGCAAGCUUAGGGUGUUGAGCCUGAGGCGCAGCGAAAGCGAGUCUUAAAUGGGCGAUUUAGUAUGUAGUUGUAGACCCGAAACCGAUAGCGACCUAUCCUUGGGCAGAGUGAACUUCAAGUAAAAUUGAAGGGAGGCUCGAACCUAUUGAUGUUGAAAAAUCUCAGGAUGACCUGAGGAUAGCAGUGAAAAGCUAAACGAGCUCGGAGAUAGCUGGUUCUCCUCGAAAUGGUUUUAGGGCCAGCCUCAAGCUUAUCUGCGUGGGGGUAGAGUACAGUUCGGACUAGGGGGCCGAGAGGCCUUCCAAAUCCUUGCUAACUCCGAAUACCAUGUAGUAAUUGCUUGGGAGUGAGACUACGAGGGAUAAGCCUCGUGGUCAAAAGGGAAACAGCCCAUGAUCGUCAGCUAAGGUUCCUAAAUGUAUGCUAAGUGGGAAAGGAAGUAAAGUCGGCUAGACAGCCAGGAGGUUGGCUUAGAAGCAGCCAUCCUUUAAAGAGUGCGUAACAGCUCACUGGUCGAUCGAUUUUGCGCCGAAAACACACGGAGCUCAAGCAUACUACCGAAGCUACGGGUGGUCCGGAUGAAUAAUCCGGAUCGCGGUAGAGGAGCGUUCCGUUGUAGGUUGAAGUUGUGUCGCGAGGCACAAUGCACGAAACGGAAGUGAGAAUGUCGGCAUAAGUAACGAAAAUACGGGUGGAAAUCCCGUACGCCGAAAGUCUGAGGUUUCCUGGGGAAGGCUCGUCCUCCCAGGGUAAGUCGAUAUCUAAGCCAAGCCCUAGCGCGGCUAAGCUAGGGGUAGGUGAUGGCUAAACGGUUAAUAUUCCGUUACCGCCUAUUUUGUUAACCAGAAGGACGCAGGGGGAUAACUCAUUACACUUAUUGGAUUGUGAGCCUGAUUUAUUUCGGGCGCGAUGGGUGACUCCGCACUGACGAGAAAAGCUCUGGGUAUUGUGAUAGGUGAUCGUACCAUAAACCGACACAGGUGGACAGGCUGAACAAGCCAAGGCGCGCGAGAUAACUCUCUCUAAGGAACUAGGCAAAAUGGUCCCGUAACUUCGGGAAAAGGGACGAUCCGAUUCAUUUCGGAUCCUCAGAUAUCAGACUUCCGCGACUGUUUAACAAAAACACAGGUCUCUGCUAACCCGUAAGGGGAUGUAUAGGGGCUGAUGCCUGCCCAGUGCUGGAAGGUUAAGAGGAUGUUUGAGAUUAUAUCAAGGACAGAAUCGAAGCCCCAGUGAACGGCGGCCGUAACUAUAAAUAGGACCUCUCCGCCACAGGCUGAGAAAAAAGUUGUAGUUACGAAAAUAAAUUUAGCUAUAUGCUGGAAACUCCGGUGUAUCCUUCUUUACUAGAUAAAAUUUUAUUUAGUGACAAUAAGCAAGGUGCGGACAAUCAGCAGGAAAGGUCUUGAUAUGCUUGAUUUGAAUACUGUUCCAUUUAGGAUUGGUUGUUAUUUUGCUGGUUUUGCCGAUGGAGAAGGGAGCUUCAAUGUUUCUUUCAGGCCCAGGGAUGAUUACAAAAAUCCCUGGAAAAUAUCUUUGUGUUUCAAUAUUUCCCAAAAAGACAAGGUGAUCCUGGCUUUGUUUAAAAGAUAUCUGAAUUGCGGAACGUUGAGGAGCAGACCCGAUGGUGUUUGGUAUUAUGAGGUAAAUAAUUUUACCGCCAUCAUCGAGAAUGUGAUCCCCUUUUUCAGGAAAUAUGGUUUUUUGUCGGCAAAAAAGAAAAGAGACUUUAAUAAGUUUCAGCAAAUCGCCAUGAUAAUUGGCAGUAACCGUCAUCUUCAUGAAUCCGGGAUCAGAGAGAUCCUGGAAAUUAGAAAAGAGAUGAACGACGGCGGUAGAAGAAGGCAUACUGACGAAGAAGUUCUCAGUAAAAUCAAGGAAUCCUCAGAGACUACACGCUAAACUCCGAUUGACCGUGAUCGGGGAUGAUAUAGUCCGAUCUUUAUGGCGACAUAAAGUUAACAAUUUGAACGGUCCUAAGGUAGCGAAAUUCCUUGUCGGGUAAGUUCCGACCCGCACGAAAGGCAUAACGAAGGAAGUGCUGUCUCGGAGAGAGACUCGGUGAAAUUGGGAUGACCGUGAAGACACGGUUUAACUGCACCAGGACAGAAAGACCCCGUGGAGCUUUACUAUACCCUAACUUUGAGAUUUGACGCCGCUUGCGUAGCAUAGGUGGGAGGCUUUGAUCCCCUGUUUUUGGAUGGGGGGGAGCCAACAGUGAAAUACCACCCUGGUUGUGUUAGAUUUCUAACCCUGGCCUUGUUAAGCUGGGAGACAGAGUUAGGCGGGUAGUUUGACUGGGGCGGUCGCCUCACAAAGGAUAACUGAGGCGUUCAAAGGUACCCUCAGCACGGUUGGAAAUCGUGCGUCGAGUGUAAAGGCAUAAGGGCGCUUGACUGCGAGACGUACAUGUCGAGCAGGGACGAAAGUCGGACUUAGUGAUCCGGUGGUUCUGAAUGGAAGGGCCAUCGCUCAACGGAUAAAAGUUACCCCGGGGAUAACAGGCUGAUCUCCUCCAAGAGUUCACAUCGACGAGGAGGUUUGGCACCUCGAUGUCGGCUCAUCGCAUCCUGGAGCUGGAGCAGGUUCCAAGGGUUGGGCUGUUCGCCCAUUAAAGCGGUACGUGAGCUGGGUUCAGAACGUCGUGAGACAGUUUGGUCCAUAUCCGGUGCAGUCGCAAGGAAAAUUGAGAGGAGUCCUUCCUAGUACGAGAGGACCGGAAGGAACAGACCGCUGGUGUACCAGUUGUGGGGCCUACCUGCAAACGCUGGGUAGCCAUGUCUGGAAGGGAUAAAUGCUGAAAGCAUCUAAGCAUCAAGCCCACCUCAAGAUUAGUUUUCCCAUCUGGAUCCCGCAAGGGUGAAGGAGUAAGACCCCCUGAAGAACACAGGGUUGAUAGGCUGGAGGUGUAAAGGCGGCAACGUCUGAGCUGACCAGUACUAAUCGGUCGAGGACUUAUUUAUU
This 3595-nucleotide ribosomal RNA is filed under the name Candidatus Margulisiibacteriota bacterium. Its description in RNAcentral is "23S ribosomal RNA". It matches the Rfam family "Bacterial large subunit ribosomal RNA". The record is from RNAcentral. Lineage: Bacteria; Bacillati; Candidatus Margulisiibacteriota.